RNAcentral lists this ribosomal RNA (503 nucleotides) under uncultured bacterium. RNAcentral's name for it is "partial 16S ribosomal RNA". It matches the Rfam family "Bacterial small subunit ribosomal RNA", at positions 29 to 507 of the family's 1533-position model. The record is from RNAcentral.
AACGAACGCUGGCGGCGUGCCUAACACAUGCAAGUCGAACGAGAAAGGGGCUUCGGCUCCGAGUAAAGUGGCGCACGGGUGAGUAACACGUGGGUAACCUGCCUCUAAGAUUGGGAUAACUCGUCGAAAGAUGAGCUAAUACCGAAUAAGACCACAGUUCCCGCGGGAACAGGGGUCAAAGGUAGCCUCUGCUUGCAAGCUAUCACUUAGAGAUGGGCCUGCGCACCAUUAGCUAGUUGGUAGGGUAACGGCCUACCAAGGCAAAGAUGGUUAGCUGGUCUGAGAGGAUGAUCAGCCACACUGGAACUGAGACACGGUCCAGACUCCUACGGGAGGCAGCAGUGGGGAAUAUUGCGCAAUGGUCGAAAGCUUGACGCAGCAACGCCGCGUGAGUGAUGAAGGCCUUCGGGUCGUAAAGCUCUGUCGGGAGGAACGAAUGCUCCUGAGGUUAACAGCCUCGGGAGGUGACGGUACCUUCAAAGGAAGCACCGGCUAACUCUGUG